This 252-nucleotide ribosomal RNA is filed under the name uncultured bacterium. RNAcentral describes it as "partial 16S ribosomal RNA". It matches the Rfam family "Bacterial small subunit ribosomal RNA", at positions 524 to 776 of the family's 1533-position model. The record is from RNAcentral.
GACGUAGGGGGCCAGCGUUGCUCGGAAUUACUGGGCGUAAAGGGUCCGUAGGCGGUGCGGUAAGUCGGGAGUGAAAUCUCUGGGCUUAACUCAGAGGCUGCUUCCGAAACUACCGUGCUAGAGUGCGAGAGAGGCAAGUGGAAUUGCGGGUGUAGCGGUGAAAUGCGUAGAUAUCCGCAGGAACAUCCGAGGCGAAAGCGGCUUGCUGGAUCGCACUGACGCUGAGGGACGAAAGCUAGGGGAGCAAACAGG